Pipra filicauda (Wire-tailed manakin) is the source of this 405-nucleotide long non-coding RNA. RefSeq lists it as uncharacterized. Lineage: Eukaryota; Metazoa; Chordata; Aves; Passeriformes; Pipridae. The record is from RefSeq and is a predicted model, not a curated record. The transcript is spliced from 3 exons.
AACUCUUUCCUGGCUUGUGGUGGUUUUGAAGGAAAGUAAAUAAUUCCCUCUUUAACAAUCUCAAGGGAAAUACCUGUGAAAUGCUUUGCACAGAUCGAACCCCAGAAUUUUCAUUGUGAGAAACUGCAGCAUUUCAAACCAGAUUUUUGUUUGGCACAGGUAGUCUAGAUGUCUUUUACAUAGGAAUUUCAGUCCAGAGGCACUGGAUAAUUCCAGUAGUAGCUCUUCUGCUCUUCGAAAAGCCCAGGUCUGGAUCCAACACCUUUUGGAAAACAGUAAAAUGAGGCUAAUUUCCAGCUGAGCAAAAGUUGGACUCAGAUAUGGAAACUCAAGAAGGACUUUACUCUGCAGGUCAGGAUUCCAGAAGAAUUUCAAGGUAUCACAGGCGAGUCCAUGCUCUCCAAC